CCCUUAGAUGUUCUGGGCCGCACGCGCGCUACACUGAAUGGAUCAACGUGUUUUCCCUUCCCGAGAGGGACGGGUAACCCGCUGAACCCCAUUCGUGGUAGGGAUCGGAGCUUGCAAUUGUUCUCCGUGAACCAGGAAUUCCCAGUAAGCGCAAGUCAUAAGCUUGCGUUGAUUACGUCCCUGCCCUUUGUACACACCGCCCGUCGCACCUACCGAUUGAAUGGUCCGGUGAAAUCUCCGGACUGGCGUGAGUCGGAGCAAUCUGACAAACGCCGGAAAGUUGAUUAAACCUUACCAUUUAGAGGAAGGUGAAGUCGUANCA
RNAcentral lists this ribosomal RNA (322 nucleotides) under uncultured eukaryote. Its description in RNAcentral is "partial 18S ribosomal RNA". It matches the Rfam family "Eukaryotic small subunit ribosomal RNA", at positions 1470 to 1796 of the family's 1831-position model. The record is from RNAcentral.